UCCUGACUGACCGAUAGUGAACCAGUACCGUGAGGGAAAGGCGAAAAGAACCCCGGCGAGGGGAGUGAAAAAGAACCUGAAACCGUGUACGUACAAGCAGUGGGAGCACGCUUAGGCGUGUGACUGCGUACCUUUUGUAUAAUGGGUCAGCGACUUAUAUUCUGUAGCAAGGUUAACCGAAUAGGGGAGCCGAAGGGAAACCGAGUCUUAACUGGGCGUUAAGUUGCAGGGUAUAGACCCGAAACCCGGUGAUCUAGCCAUGGGCAGGUUGAAGGUUGGGUAACACUAACUGGAGGACCGAACCGACUAAUGUUGAAAAAUUAGCGGAUGACUUGUGGCUGGGGGUGAAAGGCCAAUCAAACCGGGAGAUAGCUGGUUCUCCCCGAAAGCUAUUUAGGUAGCGCCUCGUGAAUUCAUCUCCGGGGGUAGAGCACUGUUUCGGCAAGGGGGUCAUCCCGACUUACCAACCCGAUGCAAACUGCGAAUACCGGAGAAUGUUAUCACGGGAGACACACGGCGGGUGCUAACGUCCGUCGUGAAGA
This 542-nucleotide ribosomal RNA is filed under the name Shigella sonnei. RNAcentral describes it as "partial 23S ribosomal RNA". It matches the Rfam family "Bacterial large subunit ribosomal RNA", at positions 474 to 1016 of the family's 2925-position model. Lineage: Bacteria; Pseudomonadati; Pseudomonadota; Gammaproteobacteria; Enterobacterales; Enterobacteriaceae. The record is from RNAcentral.